GGAAGUGAUCAGCUGUUUCGAAGGCUGCAAGUUUUUGCAAAUUUUGCGUUCUCGUACUUCUGUGGGUAUUUCGUCUCUUUGAGAGCGGAUGCUGCUAAAUUCUCCGAAUUUUUUCUGCUGGAUAGUUUUGUCCCCUCAGUACGAGUACACACCUAUUUAAGGAACUGCUGUAUAUAAUUUUUAUUUUUGUACAAAAAUUCUUCAUUAAAAAAUGAUAUCUAAAGUUCCUAGGCUCUCUAGAUCGUUUGUAAAGCGUUAUGUAAACAUUAAUGAUCAUGCUGUGCGAGAUUUUGCAAUUGCUUCAAGCAACCUGUGGCAUUCAAGUAUCCAACAGCGAGUUUCUCUUUGCCCAAACAAAUGCCGCCCAUGGAAAACCUGUAUGCAGAAUAUGCAUUACAGCACUGAAAAAAUACGUCAACCAAUACCGGGCGUAGAAUAUGGCGAUAUCAAAGAUUUACCAAACCACCCAGAAAAACUGUUAAUUGAUGUGCGUGAGCCACAGGAACUCUUAGAAACUGGAAAAAUUCCAACAAGUAUAAAUAUCCCACUGGAAUCCGUAGUGCAAGUAUUGGCCGAAGAUGUUAAACCGCAGAGAUUUCAAUCGAGGUACGGUCGCAGCAAGCCUUCUAUUCACGAUGAGAUAAUUUUUACCUGUAAGCUGGGAAAACGUGCGCUUAAAGCAGCAGAAAUAGCAAAUGCAAUGGGUUAUACAAAUGUAAAAUACUAUCCCGGAUCUUGGGAAGAUUGGGUCAAAAAUGAAAAUAAGCAUUAAUUUCUGAAUAUGCCACAUAGUAAAUUAACAUCUUGCGUAAUGCAGAUAACAAAUUUCAAUCUCCUUAACUCGAUUCAAAGUUACGUACACAUCUAUGUAUGUACAUAAGUAUAUAUGCACAUAUAUCACAAGGUUUUAAUUAGCACUGCACAUUUGUAUUACUAUAAAUGAAAAUGCAUACAUAAAUACAUACUUACAUACAUAUAAGUAUAUGAGAAAUCAUUGCAUUUAAAUUUAAAAUGUUUAAGUUUUCAAACUGUUUUAAGCUGCACAUAUUGCUCAUUUACUUCAAAAGUAAAAAUGAAUAAAUAUCGCACGUUUAAUAAUAUAGAGAUGCAAUUAAAAAUUUACGUUUUUGGAGAUUCCAUCAAACCGUUACAUAAUAAGCUUGAUAAGGAGAAUAUGUUCAACCUAACAGAUGAGUAAACUUUCCAACUUUUCUAUAUUUUGGUAUGAAUUGAUAAAACAUUGAUGGAAUUAUGAAUUAAUUCUUUAUAUCUGGCGCGUUUUUUUACACGCAUACGUAUGUACAUUAGGGUGGUCUUUAAAAAAGUCAAAUACGCGAUUUUUUUCAGUCUCACU
Molecule: unclassified non-coding RNA, 1354 nt
Filed under: Rhagoletis pomonella (apple maggot)
Lineage: Eukaryota; Metazoa; Arthropoda; Insecta; Diptera; Tephritidae
Description: rhodanese domain-containing protein CG4456, transcript variant X2
Source: RNAcentral